This 394-nucleotide ribosomal RNA is filed under the name uncultured bacterium. Its description in RNAcentral is "partial 16S ribosomal RNA". It matches the Rfam family "Bacterial small subunit ribosomal RNA", at positions 523 to 918 of the family's 1533-position model. The record is from RNAcentral.
AUACGUAGGGAGCGAGCGUUGUCCGGAAUUACUGGGCGUAACGGGCGCGUAGGCGGCGCUUCAAGUCGUCUGUCAAAUGGGAGGGCUUAACCCUUUUUCGCCGUCGAAACUGGAACGCUUACGAAGUAGAGACGCAAACACAAUUUCUCGUGUAGCGGUGCAAUGCGUAGCUAUCAGGAAGAAUACCAGUUGCGAAGCGGGUUUGCUGGCUGCAUGCUGACGCUGAAGCGCGAAAGCCAGGGGAGCAAACGGGGUUAGAUACCCCGGUAGUCCUGGCAGUAAACGAUGUAUGCUGGGUGUGAGACUAGCGAUAGUUUCGUGCCGAAGUUAACGCGAUAAGCAUACCGCCUGGGGAGUACGGUCGCAAGAUUGAAACUCAAAGGAAUUGGCGGGG